AUAUUCCUUCAGGGUCAGGUGAGAAGGCAAAGUCCUUCAAUUCCGAACCGGCGGUAUAGCCCGCGAGCACUAAGCUGAUCCGGUGAAAUUCCGGAGCCGACAGUAUAGUCUGGAUGGGAGAAGGAGUUA
Molecule: non-coding RNA, 129 nt
Filed under: Dethiobacter alkaliphilus
Lineage: Bacteria; Bacillati; Bacillota; Dethiobacteria; Dethiobacterales; Dethiobacteraceae
Also listed under: 1 other name
Description: FMN sequence
Rfam family: FMN riboswitch aptamer (RFN element)
About the family: The RFN element is a highly conserved domain that is found frequently in the 5'-untranslated regions of prokaryotic mRNAs that encode for flavin mononucleotide (FMN) biosynthesis and transport proteins.
Source: RNAcentral